Long non-coding RNA from Clupea harengus (Atlantic herring), 670 nucleotides. NCBI's taxonomy places the organism in Eukaryota, Metazoa, Chordata, Actinopteri, Clupeiformes, Clupeidae. The record is from Ensembl.
CAAACUUCAUAACUCCGCAGUUCACGUAGGCCUACGUAAUUCACGAGUUUCGCAUUGCCAUAGGCAGCUGUCUGUGACUUCGGCAAGGUUCUAGCUGGAAGGAGGACAUUUUGUAUGGGAAGAGAGUGAUGAAAUGCAACUAAGUCAUAUAGAACACUCCUCCUGGCUCCUGUGUAAGCAUCCCCGUUUGACAGAAGGCAAAGGCUCUGUCCAGAAUUCUGCCCACCCUCGCUUGAAAUGUGUCCGGUCUCGCCACGGAACACCCACACCUCUGGAUUUUUCGGAUAACAACCGUCCCGUUCGACUUGGCCGCCGACGCCUGAGAAGACUGUGGGCACACAAAAGAUGCCGAGAUGCCUCUUCGGGGAGGGGGGAGGGCGCACGUGGACAGAGGACAAACCCCAAAUUUAAGGAAGCACUUUUGCAAAGGCAUUGUACAAUUACUGACAGUUUCAUUGUGGGUCUCCCUGCUGGUUUUGCAUACUGAGGCAGAAAGCUUUGUGAUUUAUAAGGAGGAGGGGGCAUUGUAUGUUUCCAUUAACAUCUAAUAUUAACAGACGUCUGAGUUCCAAACCAAUUAAGUAUUCUCUGCUGACACAGUAAUAAGAUCAAAGGAGCUGGCAAGUGAAUGGCCCUGGAAUCUAAUUCAAGGUGACUUUUAGCUGUGAGA